CCUACGGGGUGCAGCAGUGGGGAAUAUUGGGCAAUGGAGGCAACUCUGACCCAGCAACGCCGCGUGAAUGAUGAAGGUCUUCGGAUUGUAAAGCUCUGUGAUGGGGGAUGAACACAAUGACGGUACCCCAAUAGCAAGCCACGGCAAACUACGUGCCAGCAGCCGCGGUAAUACGUAGGUGGCAAGCGUUAUCCGGAAUGACUGGGCGUAAAGGGGGCGUAGGUGGUUUAGUAAGUUGGCGGUGUAAGUCCGGGGCUCAACCUCGGCGCUACCUCCAAAACUAUUAGACUAGAGGGCAGGGGGGGUAAGGGGAAUUCGUGGUGUAGGGGUGGAAUGGGUAGAUAUUAGGCGGAACAUCGGGGGCGAAGGCGACUUACUGGACUGUACUGACGCUGAGGCACGAAAGCGUGGGGAGCAAACAGGAUUAGAUACCCUUGUAGUC
Molecule: ribosomal RNA, 442 nt
Filed under: uncultured bacterium
Lineage: Bacteria
Description: partial 16S ribosomal RNA
Rfam family: Bacterial small subunit ribosomal RNA
Source: RNAcentral